Molecule: long non-coding RNA, 246 nt
Filed under: Anser brachyrhynchus (Pink-footed goose)
Lineage: Eukaryota; Metazoa; Chordata; Aves; Anseriformes; Anatidae
Description: lncRNA (ENSABRG00000009127.1)
Source: RNAcentral
ACAGGUGCUAAUGAAAGAAUGCAAAUAGCACCGGCUGAGCCGAACAUUUCAUAAAGACGGGAACAGCCCCCGACCCCAGCCAGCCCCGGAUCCGCUGCCGGCACCCACCGAAGAGCUGUGGAUUUUCCAUCGGGCAUCUCCUUACCGGGGCUGAAGAUACCAACCUUCUCGGUGGAAGGGGAUGAGCAGAUCUUCCCACUUAGUCCUGAGGUAUACAACAAGGAUUUUUGUUUUGUUUGCUAUUGU